CAAUAGCGUAUAUUAAAGUUGUUGCGGUUAAAAAGCUCGUAGUUGGAUUUCUGCCGAGGACGACCGGUCCGCCCUCUGGGUGUGUAUCUGGUUUGGCCUGGGCAUCUUCUUGGAGAACGUAGCUGCACUUGACUGUGUGGUGCGGUGUCCAGGACUUUUACUUUGAGGAAAUUAGAGUGUUCCAGGCAGGCUUUGCUUGAAUACAUCAGCAUGGAAUAAUGGAAUAGGACAGGUCAAUUUUAUUGGUUAUUUGACUUGUAAUGAUUAACAGGGACAGUUGGGGGCGUUUGUAUUCAAUAGUCAGAGGUGAAAUUCUUGGAUUUGUUGAAGACAAACUAAAGCGAAAGCAUUCGCCAAGGAUGUUUUCAUUAA
Molecule: ribosomal RNA, 372 nt
Filed under: uncultured eukaryote
Lineage: Eukaryota
Description: partial 18S ribosomal RNA
Rfam family: Eukaryotic small subunit ribosomal RNA
Source: RNAcentral